This is a long non-coding RNA of Solanum stenotomum, 2170 nucleotides long. RefSeq lists it as uncharacterized. The record is from RefSeq and is a predicted model, not a curated record. NCBI's taxonomy places the organism in Eukaryota, Viridiplantae, Streptophyta, Magnoliopsida, Solanales, Solanaceae. The transcript is spliced from 6 exons.
UUCACCACCAAAAAAUAACACUGCAUCUCUCCUUCACUCAGUCAUCACACUAGCUACAGAAACACCCAUUAAACCCCAUCUCUGCUUUUCUUCUUAUAAGUUUUUAGUUUACUUAAUCUUCUCACUCUUUUGUUUAGAUUUUUCAGAUUUUGAUUUUCUUAUUUUUUUCUCACCCCUUUUCCCCCUGAUUUUCGUUUUUAUUAGAGGUAGAUCUGUUGUCAAUUUUGGAUCCAAUUCUUGGGUGAUUUUCUGAUUUUUUUUUCUUAAUUUAUUAUGAAAUUUUCUACUUGCAUGUUCCUAACGGAGAUUAGUUUAAUGUUGAAUUUUCGUUUGCCAAUCAAUUUCUACUUGCAUAUUUUUAAUAGAGGUGAGUUUAUUGUGGAUUUUUCUACUUGCAUGUUUCUAAUCGACUUUAGAUUUUGUUUCUAUGUUCUCUAAUUUUCUUCAUUUCAUAGUCGUCUUUUUAAAUCUUUGCUUUUCCGUAAUGACCCUGUUAUACUUUCAUUUGCUCCUCCUUGCUUAAUAAUUGGGUGUAACAACCUUUUACUUUAGAGAAAUCAGAAUAUGCAACAAAUAUAACUACUCAGAUACUCAUAAAGACUCUGCUAUGUCAAUGAAUUUUCCGUUGGUCUUCUUAUACUCUGUCUCUUUACUUGCUGGUAAUUAAGGUUACACCAAAAAAGGAACAAAUAUAAUAAAGCAGUGUGGGGUGAUUAUUAUCAGAAAGAACAAGCAAAUUAGAAGGGAUGUGUAGUGAUGGAUCAUUGUAAAAUGGAGCAAAAUAGGGCAAUGUGAGACUCAGAGCCUGUCUCUUCUUCUUUAUGUGGGAUAUGCAAGGACUGUAAUGAAGUUGCUGGAUGGUGAGAAUUGGGAGGUGAGAACUGAACUUUUCAUUUCUCAAAAACAAUUGUGACAAUAUUUUCUAUAUCUAAGACACUACCGAACUUAUGUGCAUUAGUUAAACUCACUUGAAGUAUUCUAGAGGGUAAUAUAAUUCCCAAGUACUUUUAUGUUAUUUUAGAGUGUUCUUACAAAUGGCUAUAACGUUGAAACAUUAUUUUUAGUUCUCGAGCACCAAACUUUACUGUAAUCCCCGAGUUCUUCUUCAUAUGAGAAAGUGACAAACUAAUAAAUGGAUACACCUCUACAGAAUGAAGAAGGUAUAGAUGGAUAUCACUCUCAAUUUGUAUGGACUAUGUAAUUCUUUAUCUAUUCUUUUUCGGUUUCUCAUUUGUACCUUGCCCAUGACAUAAUAUACAUUAUUUAGUAUAAAUGCUAUACACUUUCAUUCUAACCACAGUUAAAAAGUAUUGUUCUUUCAUCUAAAUAAUCAUGGGUUAACCAAUCUCAAGUGGUCCUUAUUAGACGGAUCUCUCAAAUUGACUCUUCCUAAAGAGUCUUACGAUCUGGAUAGGGAUAGCCAAGAUUUGCCGGAGGAAUUUGAGAAAGCUACUACUUAUGGAGGAAAUGAAAAUGAAAGUUGUAUUCGAAUAUUCAAGCGCAAGGUUGAAGAAAAGGCGAGUCUUAACUACACUAUUGACAACAUUUAUGCCCGCCCCACCCGCAACAACCUUUUUGGAAUUUUAUCUUCAAGAUAACAAUGUUAUUGCCAUAUGAAUGGAUGACUCCUACAUCCAGAUAUAUAAUGUUCAAGUUAAUGAGAUUGAGCUAUUUAGACAUUUAUUUCGUUCUGUAAAGACAAAGCUCAAAGGACAUCAUAAAAGAAUAACUGGGCUUGCUUUUUCGAAUUCUCUCAACAUACUUAUAUCUGCAGGAGCAGAUUAUCUGUGUCUCAGGAAGAGUUGACAUUUUCACAGUCUGAACAAGGUCUUGAAUCCAAUGAGCAACAAAUUAUUCAAUAUGUGAGCUCACUGAUGCAGGUCGAAAGAGAAGGCGUAAAAGGUUAAUUUUGCUAUUGCAAGAGCUAUAUCCGAGAUGGCUAUUGCUUCAAGACUUAGUGCACCAGAGCGUUGGAUGAAUAGUAUCAAUGAAUUUGAGUAUUUUGUCCAAGUAAUAUAUUCAUAUCUUUUUCUUAUUGUAGUUAAAAAGUAUUGUACUAUCAAAGAUGUAUAUAGAAGUGUAUUAUUGAUGAUUAUGACUACUUCACACAUACAAAUGAAAGUGAUAUGUUCUACCCAUGUUGGUACAUAAGAUAAUUAUUGUUAAUGAA